Molecule: long non-coding RNA, 384 nt
Organism: Rosa chinensis
Lineage: Eukaryota; Viridiplantae; Streptophyta; Magnoliopsida; Rosales; Rosaceae
Exons: 3
Source: RefSeq, a predicted model, not a curated record
UGUAGUUAGUUUGUCGAUUAUCCCUUUCACUCGUGUGCUAAAACAUUAUCUUAAUGUUAUUAGUGAGUGUAGAUGCUAAAGUAUUCUUUCUCUAUUUAUUAAGUUUCAAUUCUGGAGGCUUCACUUUCCAAAUGUAGUAUAUUAAAGCUUCCAGUUUUCUUUUAGCUGAAAUACAAUCCUUUGUCCCGAUUUACACUGUUAUUAAGAGUAGCUUAACAAGUCAAUGGUUUUCUAUAGUUUAUGCCAAGCCAAUUUAAUCUGCUGUAUGAGAUUAUCUUCAUAACAAAGCAGUAGGUGAGACAGGUAGAUCUUAGUUUUAAGGCUUUACAAAGCUUGGAGGUAGUACUGAGUAAAUAAGGUUCAAAGCUUGGAGGUAGUAAUAAG